Long non-coding RNA from Lathyrus oleraceus (garden pea), 574 nucleotides. RefSeq lists it as uncharacterized. The record is from RefSeq and is a predicted model, not a curated record. The transcript is spliced from 2 exons. NCBI's taxonomy places the organism in Eukaryota, Viridiplantae, Streptophyta, Magnoliopsida, Fabales, Fabaceae.
AACUGAACCAAAAGGCUUAAGAACCCUAAAUUCAAGAAUUGAAAUUAAAUCGAAACGGAGGGGAAUCAAGCGACUCCCCUAGAGGACUUUGAUUCCCCUCAACAAGAGCUACAUGAUAGUGAAGAAAUUUGAGACGAACGGAGCAAGAACAACCAACCUUCAAGGCAGAGGUCGAUGUGGAAACUGUCGUAUCUUGAAGCUGAUGAAGACGACAGAAAUCAGAGGACUUGUGCAUAUGGGAUGGCUUGGUAAUGCAUUUUGGACAAUAGAGAAGCUUAGCACACCGUGGCCCAUCAAGAUGGGAGUUUUGGACAACACCAAGAAUUGUGAAGAAAUUUGGAGAAUUAAAAAGAUAGUAUGUUUUAUAAAUGAAGGGAAAAGUAGGAUAAGGUUCAAGAUAGUUUGUUGACUUUGGUCAACUGUUUGACCAAAAAGACAAAAGUUGACCAAAAGUCAACUCUAGGAAAAAUGUGUAUUUUUUGUGUAAUCUUGAUUUUUGACUAUGUGUAAUGCACAUGAAUAUUUUUGAAAUAAAAAGGCCUUCUUGAAAUGAAAGAUGAACUUUCCAUCAAAA